AGCUCCAAUAGCGUAUAUUAAAGUUGUUGCGGUUAAAAAGCUCGUAGUUGGAUUUCUGUCGAGAAAGUGCGGUCUGCACUAUGUGCACGUAUCUGCAACUGUCUUGGCAUCCGGAAGUUUAAGGCGCGUUGCUUCAUUGCAAUGUCCGUAGGCUUCUCUUUUACUUUGAGGAAAUUAGAGUGUUCACGGCAGGCAAUCGCCCUGAAUACAUUAGCAUGGAAUAAUAAUAUAGGGCCGCAGCUCUAUUUUGUUGGUUUCUAGAGCUACGGUAAUGAUUAAUAGGGAUAAUUGGGGGCAUUCGUAUUAUCACGUCAGAGGUGGAAUUCUUGGAUUGUGUUACGACGAACUACUGCGAAAGCAUUUGCCAAGGAUGUUUUCA
This 379-nucleotide ribosomal RNA is filed under the name uncultured eukaryote. RNAcentral describes it as "SSU rRNA". It matches the Rfam family "Eukaryotic small subunit ribosomal RNA", at positions 587 to 972 of the family's 1831-position model. The record is from RNAcentral.